CUCUCUCUCUCUCUCUUUCUCUCUCUAGCUCAUUCUUGCAACUCACCUAAAUAUUUAGUGGCCAUUUUCUCCUGGCUAGCUCCCCAAGUAGCCGCCAGCUCAUUCCUUCCCCCGACAUCGACCUCACACCCACCUCCCGUACCUCCCUCUCUGUCCCAAAAUCACAUAUAAUCACACCCCCAUACACCCUCCCAAUCCUCCAUUCAAUUCCUACCCAAUUCUCUCUCCCUCCCUCUCACCGCAUUAGCAUCAUCAAGCCUCCAUCUUGA
RNAcentral lists this long non-coding RNA (269 nucleotides) under Eucalyptus grandis. RNAcentral's name for it is "long non-coding RNA (EGRA_LNC006230)". The record is from RNAcentral. Lineage: Eukaryota; Viridiplantae; Streptophyta; Magnoliopsida; Myrtales; Myrtaceae.